GACGAACGCUGGCGGCAUGCCUAACACAUGCAAGUCGAACGAGACCUUCGGGUCUAGUGGCGCACGGGUGCGUAACGCGUGGGAAUCUGCCCUUGGUUCGGAAUAACAGCGAGAAAUUGCUGCUAAUACCGGAUGAUGACGUAAGUCCAAAGAUUUAUCGCCCAAGGAUGAGCCCGCGUAGGAUUAGCUAGUUGGUGAGGUAAAGGCUCACCAAGGCGACGAUCCUUAGCUGGUCUGAGAGGAUGAUCAGCCACACUGGGACUGAGACACGGCCCAGACUCCUACGGGAGGCAGCAGUGGGGAAUAUUGGACAAUGGGCGAAAGCCUGAUCCAGCAAUGCCGCGUGAGUGAUGAAGGCCUUAGGGUUGUAAAGCUCUUUUACCCGGGAUGAUAAUGACAGUACCGGGACGAAUAAGCUCCGGCUAACUCGUGCCAGCAGCC
RNAcentral lists this ribosomal RNA (441 nucleotides) under uncultured bacterium. RNAcentral describes it as "bacterial SSU rRNA". It matches the Rfam family "Bacterial small subunit ribosomal RNA", at positions 28 to 516 of the family's 1533-position model. The record is from RNAcentral.